Molecule: small RNA, 125 nt
Filed under: Citrobacter europaeus
Lineage: Bacteria; Pseudomonadati; Pseudomonadota; Gammaproteobacteria; Enterobacterales; Enterobacteriaceae
Description: Salmonella enterica Typhi npcRNA 44
Rfam family: Salmonella enterica Typhi npcRNA 44
Source: RNAcentral
CUUUAAAAAUCUGGAUCAAGCUGAAAAUUGAAACGACACACUGUUUCAUUUCUCCGUAAUAAGAAAUGAAAAAUGGUGUGUUCGAGUCUCUCAAAUUUUUGCAAUCAGAAGUGAAACAUCUUCGG